Molecule: long non-coding RNA, 260 nt
Filed under: Mus pahari (shrew mouse)
Lineage: Eukaryota; Metazoa; Chordata; Mammalia; Rodentia; Muridae
Description: lncRNA (MGP_PahariEiJ_G0006065.1)
Source: RNAcentral
GGGAGAAGAGAAGAAGGAAUGUGGUGGCACAGCAGGAUAACCCCUAGCACUGGUUGUCCACAAUUACAUUGUAUCUAAUAGUUGGUGUUGCUGAAUCAAAAAAGGGCAAUGAUCGAUUUCUCUUCCAUACGACGGUGAUCAGGUAUUGCUUCAGUCAGCAGGGCAACAGUCCUUGACUCUGCUGGUGUCUGCCCUACUGUCUUUCUCCACUCUGAGCUUUGUUCCCUCUUACACGUAAUGAUAAAAAGGGGUAAAACUAU